Molecule: long non-coding RNA, 589 nt
Organism: Pieris rapae (cabbage white)
Lineage: Eukaryota; Metazoa; Arthropoda; Insecta; Lepidoptera; Pieridae
Exons: 4
Source: RefSeq, a predicted model, not a curated record
AGUGGGGUGAGAAUCGCCGACUCAAUAAUUAUUCGUAGUUUAUGUGGUACGUUCAUGGAAUAAAGAUGAAUUUAACUGGAUUUACUUAGCAAUUCAGAUCUUCGUCCAUCAUGGCUCAGAAGAAUCAAAUGGCAGAGAUAAGAUGCAUGGAGCCAGAAAAUUAUCGGAAAUACUUUCGAUCCCUAUGUUGGAGUGGAAAUAGAAAAUUGGACAGACGAACUGGUAGGAGGGGUAUAAGAAAAGAUAGGUCACGGAGAUCUAAAGGACCAAAUGCAUUUGCCAUAUGUUUUGCUCCAGCUUUACUUGGCAAUCCAUCGCAAUUUGCAGUUUAUGCUACCGUCCGAAAGUCUAUUCUGUCCCGUUGGAGACAUCUACAAGGAUCAGUAGCUGAUUUAUCUGAUGAAAGUGAUAAUGAUGAUCAAAAUCAAGUUGCAAACAUUAAAUUACCAAAAAUUACAGGAAUUGGUCUUCGUACUGUUUUUAGUCUAAUUGAUCAAGCAAGGUUUAAAGAUACCAGUUUGUGUGAAUCUGCACUUCGGGCUUUGCUUGACGUACUGCAAUCACAUGCCCCUGAAGAUUUAUCCCAUGA